UUGACUUUAAUGGAUUAACGUGUUGCGAUCCUUCUCAUCAACCAACUCGGGGGGAUUGGAGAUCCCGACAAUUGUCAGGGGUGACAUAUAUUAUUAAAAUUAGGUCUGUUUUUUUUUCAGGUGAGAUUAGCUAUUUAUUGAUCGUAAGAAUUUAAAUGAGGUCAUUUUUUUGUUGUUCUUGGCAUACUUGUGGGGGAUGUGCUCCAGCUCACUGGCUUCUUGUUUUAUUGUUCAACCAGAGCUUCCGUGACAUGUUAUUGAAGGACAUCUGGGAAAAGGAGCUCAGGAAUCAUAAAAUCCCAUUUACAGAAAAUCUCAGCCUCAUUUCUGACCUAGUGGACCCUCCCACUAUAAGCGAGUACCUUCAAGGACUUCCAGUAUGGCGGCAAAUCACUGUCAAAAUUCGAGAGCGCAAAUCAGGUUGAUGCACGCGCGUAAAUCAAACAUCCGUGAGCAAAAGUCCGUCUUGCGCGAGCAAAAGUUUGUCGAAAGCGACGCAAGCCUAGAAAAAUGUCUCGACACACGCAAGGACGCAAGGAGGUGUGAGAAGCAACGCAAGGGACACGCAAGGGGGUCUUGCGUCUGCGUCGCUCUGAAACCGCAGAAGGAUAAAUCAAGCUUUAGCCGAGAUGCUAGCCGUUAGCACCAGCGACUUGGCGGUGAAAUACAACGUUGAGUUGGUUAACAGUUGUUAACAGUGGGUUAACACUAACUUGUCAGGGUUUUUUGGACUGAAUUACCCUGAAGGACCAUGUGGGGUCCUCAGUGAUCCAGUUUUAUGUAUGGCACCUGUCAUGAGUCUGUGUGGUCUUGAUUGUUCUCAUUGCGUUCACCUGUGCCUCGUUCUCUAGCCUUUAAAAAGCCAACUGUGUUUCUUUGUGUUUGCCGAGUCUUGGAACUUACCACCUGGAGCUGAGCUGCGUGAGACACUUGAUAACGUUUCUCUGUUAAUACCUUUUGUUUUUUAAGAUCUUCUGUUGCCUGUUCUUUGGGACACCCUUAGUUUCCUGUUAAAUGCUCUGACUUUGUUUUUAGUUGUCUUGGAAUAUUUUGAGUUCUGUCAACGAUAUGGAACCUUCUACUUUUUGCAAGUAAAGAAACCUUUUUUUGACUCAACAUACGACUUGUCCGUGUCUGUCUCUGC
Molecule: long non-coding RNA, 1144 nt
Organism: Gasterosteus aculeatus aculeatus (three-spined stickleback)
Lineage: Eukaryota; Metazoa; Chordata; Actinopteri; Perciformes; Gasterosteidae
Source: Ensembl